Molecule: ribosomal RNA, 253 nt
Filed under: uncultured bacterium
Lineage: Bacteria
Description: partial 16S ribosomal RNA
Rfam family: Bacterial small subunit ribosomal RNA
Source: RNAcentral
UACGGAGGGUGCAAGCGUUAUCCGGAAUCACUGGGUUUAAAGGGUGCGUAGGCGGUUUGAUAAGUCAGGAGUGAAAGUUAUCUGCUUAACGGGGAAAUUGCUUUUGAUACUGUCAGGCUUGAAUCGGGUUGAGGUUAGCGGAAUGUGACAUGUAGCGGUGAAAUGCAUAGAUAUGUCAUAGAACACCAAUUGCGAAGGCAGCUAGCUGAGCUCAGAUUGACGCUGAGGCACGAAAGCGUGGGGAGCGAACAGG